UACGUAGGGUGCAAGCGUUGUCCGGAAUUAUUGGGCGUAAAGGGCGCGUAGGCGGUUCGUACAGUCAGACGUGAAAUUCCUGGGCUCAACCUGGGGGCUGCGUUUGAUACGUGCGGACUUGAGUGCGGAAGAGGGUCGUGGAAUUCCCAGUGUAGAGGUGAAAUUCGUAGAUAUUGGGAAGAACACCGGUGGCGAAGGCGGCGACCUGGUCCGAUACUGACGCUGAGGCGCGAAAGCGUGGGGAGCGAACAGG
RNAcentral lists this ribosomal RNA (253 nucleotides) under uncultured bacterium. Its description in RNAcentral is "partial 16S ribosomal RNA". It matches the Rfam family "Bacterial small subunit ribosomal RNA", at positions 524 to 776 of the family's 1533-position model. The record is from RNAcentral.